GGUGGCUCAGUGGUAAAGCACUUGCCUUGCAUGCAUGAGACCCUGGGUUCGAUUCCUCAGCACCA
Molecule: transfer RNA, 65 nt
Filed under: Dipodomys ordii (Ord's kangaroo rat)
Lineage: Eukaryota; Metazoa; Chordata; Mammalia; Rodentia; Heteromyidae
Rfam family: tRNA
About the family: Transfer RNA (tRNA) molecules are approximately 80 nucleotides in length. Their secondary structure includes four short double-helical elements and three loops (D, anti-codon, and T loops). Further hydrogen bonds mediate the characteristic L-shaped molecular structure. tRNAs have two regions of fundamental functional importance: the anti-codon, which is responsible for specific mRNA codon recognition, and the 3' end, to which the tRNAs corresponding amino acid is attached (by aminoacyl-tRNA synthetases). tRNAs cope with the degeneracy of the genetic code in two manners: having more than one tRNA (with a specific anti-codon) for a particular amino acid; and 'wobble' base-pairing, i.e. permitting non-standard base-pairing at the 3rd anti-codon position.
Source: Rfam by way of RNAcentral